RNAcentral lists this ribosomal RNA (484 nucleotides) under uncultured bacterium. Its description in RNAcentral is "partial 16S ribosomal RNA". It matches the Rfam family "Bacterial small subunit ribosomal RNA", at positions 30 to 507 of the family's 1533-position model. The record is from RNAcentral.
AUCGAACGCUGGCGGCAGGCCUAACACAUGCAAGUCGAGCGGAUGAAGGGAGCUUGCUUCUGGUUUCAGCGGCGGACGGGUGAGUAAUGCCUAGGAAUCUGCCUGGUAGUGGGGGAUAACGUCCGGAAACGGGCGCUACUACCGCCUACGUCCUGAGGGUGAAAGUGGGGGAUCUUCGGACCUCACGCUAUCAGAUGAGCCUAGGUCGGAUUAGCUAGUUGGUGGGGUAAAGGCCUACCAAGGCGACGAUCCGUAACUGGUCUGAGAGGAUGAUCAGUCACACUGGAGCGUCAACACGGACCAGGCGCCUGCGGGAGGCAGCAGUGGGGAAUAUUGGACAGUGGGCGAAAACCUGAUCCAGCCAGGCCGCGUGUGUUAAAAAGGUCUUCGGAUUGUAAAGCACUUUAAGUUGGGGGAAAGGGCAUUAAGUUAAUACCUUGCUGUUUUGACGUUACCGACAGAAUAAGCACCGGCUAACUUCGUG